AUUGAACGCUGGCGGCAGGCCUAACACAUGCAAGUCGAGCGGAUGAAGGGAGCUUGCUCCUGGAUUCAGCGGCGGACGGGUGAGUAAUGCCUAUGAAUCUGCCUGGUAGUGGGGGAUAACGUCCGGAAACGGGCGCUAAUACCGCAUACGUCCUGAGGGAGAAAGUGGGGGAUCUUCGGACUUCACGCUAUCAGAUGAGCCUAGGUCGGAUUAGCUAGUUGGUGGGGUAAAGGCCUACCAAGGCGACGAUCCGUAACUGGUCUGAGAGGAUGAUCAGUCACACUGGAACUGAGACACGGUCCAGACUCCUACGGGAGGCAGCAGUGGGGAAUAUUGGACAAUGGGCGAAAGCCUGAUCCAGCCAUGCCGCGUGUGUGAAGAAGGUCUUCGGAUUGUAAAGCACUUUAAGUUGGGAGGAAGGGCAGUAAGUUAAUACCUUGCUGUUUUGACGUUACCAACAGAAUAAGCACCGGCUAACUUCGUG
This 484-nucleotide ribosomal RNA is filed under the name uncultured bacterium. RNAcentral's name for it is "partial 16S ribosomal RNA". It matches the Rfam family "Bacterial small subunit ribosomal RNA", at positions 30 to 507 of the family's 1533-position model. The record is from RNAcentral.